This 252-nucleotide long non-coding RNA is filed under the name Hordeum vulgare. Its description in RNAcentral is "long non-coding RNA (HVUL_LNC007208)". The record is from RNAcentral. Lineage: Eukaryota; Viridiplantae; Streptophyta; Magnoliopsida; Poales; Poaceae.
UCCUUCUCCUCCUUCUUCUCCUUCUUCUCCUUCUUCUUCUUAUCCUUUUGUCCCCUUCUUCUUCUUCUCCUCCUCCCUCUCCUCCUUCUUCUUCUCCUUUUUCCUCUUCCUUCCUUUCAUUUUCCUCUUUUUCUCUUCUUAKUCCCGUUCUUCGGGCUAAAUUGGCUAAGAAUGCCUUUUUGGAGCUAAUUAUGUCAUUUUGAGGAUAAUUAGCUAAGUAUAGGUCAUUUUUUAUUAAAUAGGACAUUUUGG